Molecule: ribosomal RNA, 620 nt
Filed under: uncultured soil bacterium
Lineage: Bacteria
Description: bacterial SSU rRNA
Rfam family: Bacterial small subunit ribosomal RNA
Source: RNAcentral
AAACUGCUUUUGUACCGGAAUAAACCCCUUUACGUGUAAAGGGCUGAAUGUACGGUAAGAAUAAGGAUCGGCUAACUCCGUGCCAGCAGCCGCGGUAAUACGGAGGAUCCAAGCGUUAUCCGGAUUUAUUGGGUUUAAAGGGUGCGCAGGCGGCCUGUUAAGUCAGGGGUGAAAGACGGUGGCUCAACCAUCGCAGUGCCUUUGAUACUGACGGGCUUGAUUACACAUGAGGCAGGCGGAAUGUGACAAGUAGCGGUGAAAUGCAUAGAUAUGUCACAGAACCCCGAUUGCGAAGGCAGCUUACUAAAGUGUAAAUGACGCUGAGGCACGAAAGCGUGGGGAUCAAACAGGAUUAGAUACCCUGGUAGUCCACGCCCUAAACGAUGAAUACUCGAUGUUGGCGAUAUACAGUCAGCGUCCAAGCGAAAGCGUUAAGUAUUCCACCUGGGGAGUACGUCCGCAAGGAUGAAACUCAAAGGAAUUGACGGGGGCCCGCACAAGCGGAGGAGCAUGUGGUUUAAUUCGAUGAUACGCGAGGAACCUUACCCGGGCUUGAAAGUUAGUGAAUAAUCCAGAGAUGGAUUAGCCCUUCGGGGCACGAAACUAGGUGCUGCAUGGCU